RNAcentral lists this ribosomal RNA (1255 nucleotides) under Leuconostoc mesenteroides. Its description in RNAcentral is "bacterial SSU rRNA". It matches the Rfam family "Bacterial small subunit ribosomal RNA", at positions 43 to 1279 of the family's 1533-position model. Lineage: Bacteria; Bacillati; Bacillota; Bacilli; Lactobacillales; Lactobacillaceae. The record is from RNAcentral.
CGUGCCUAAUACAUGCAAGUCGAACGCACAGCGAAAGGUGCUUGCACCUUUCAAGUGAGUGGCGAACGGGUGAGUAACACGUGGACAACCUGCCUCAAGGCUGGGGAUAACAUUUGGAAACAGAUGCUAAUACCGAAUAAAACUUAGUGUCGCAUGACACAAAGUUAAAAGGCGCUUCGGCGUCACCUAGAGAUGGAUCCGCGGUGCAUUAGUUAGUUGGUGGGGUAAAGGCCUACCAAGACAAUGAUGCAUAGCCGAGUUGAGAGACUGAUCGGCCACAUUGGGACUGAGACACGGCCCAAACUCCUACGGGAGGCUGCAGUAGGGAAUCUUCCACAAUGGGCGAAAGCCUGAUGGAGCAACGCCGCGUGUGUGAUGAAGGCUUUCGGGUCGUAAAGCACUGUUGUAUGGGAAGAACAGCUAGAAUAGGAAAUGAUUUUAGUUUGACGGUACCAUACCAGAAAGGGACGGCUAAAUACGUGCCAGCAGCCGCGGUAAUACGUAUGUCCCGAGCGUUAUCCGGAUUUAUUGGGCGUAAAGCGAGCGCAGACGGUUUAUUAAGUCUGAUGUGAAAGCCCGGAGCUCAACUCCGGAAUGGCAUUGGAAACUGGUUAACUUGAGUGCAGUAGAGGUAAGUGGAACUCCAUGUGUAGCGGUGGAAUGCGUAGAUAUAUGGAAGAACACCAGUGGCGAAGGCGGCUUACUGGACUGCAACUGACGUUGAGGCUCGAAAGUGUGGGUAGCAAACAGGAUUAGAUACCCUGGUAGUCCACACCGUAAACGAUGAACACUAGGUGUUAGGAGGUUUCCGCCUCUUAGUGCCGAAGCUAACGCAUUAAGUGUUCCGCCUGGGGAGUACGACCGCAAGGUUGAAACUCAAAGGAAUUGACGGGGACCCGCACAAGCGGUGGAGCAUGUGGUUUAAUUCGAAGCAACGCGAAGAACCUUACCAGGUCUUGACAUCCUUUGAAGCUUUUAGAGAUAGAAGUGUUCUCUUCGGAGACAAAGUGACAGGUGGUGCAUGGUCGUCGUCAGCUCCUGUCGUGAGAAGUUGGGGUUAAAUCCCCGCACCAGCGCACCCCUUAUUGUUAUUUGCCGCCAUUCAAAUGGGGCCUCUAUCAGAAUGGCCGGUGACAAACCGCAGGAAGGGGGGGAGAAAACCAGAUAUCAUGCGCCUCUUAACUGGGGGUACCCCCCUGCUCCAAAGGGGGUAAACAACAAAUUGCCACCCCGCCGGGGGGAGGAAUCCUUUAAA